Molecule: small RNA, 81 nt
Filed under: Flavobacterium flevense
Lineage: Bacteria; Pseudomonadati; Bacteroidota; Flavobacteriia; Flavobacteriales; Flavobacteriaceae
Description: Flavo-1 RNA
Rfam family: Flavo-1 RNA
Source: RNAcentral
AAAUAGCCCUGAUGGCAGCGGCAUCCUCUUGUCUCGUCUUUUGGGACGAGACAAGAGAUAGAGCGGACAGCAGGAGGGAAG